This is a ribosomal RNA of Pteropus vampyrus (large flying fox), 119 nucleotides long. Lineage: Eukaryota; Metazoa; Chordata; Mammalia; Chiroptera; Pteropodidae. The record is from Ensembl.
GUCUACACCCAUGUCAUCCUGAAUGUGACUAAUCUCGUCUGAUCUUGGAAGCUAAGCAGGAUUGUGCCUGGUUGGUACUGGAAUGGGAUUCCACCUAGGAAUACCAGGUGCUGUAGGCA